RNAcentral lists this ribosomal RNA (253 nucleotides) under uncultured bacterium. Its description in RNAcentral is "partial 16S ribosomal RNA". It matches the Rfam family "Bacterial small subunit ribosomal RNA", at positions 524 to 776 of the family's 1533-position model. The record is from RNAcentral.
UACGGGGGGGGCAAGCGUUGUUCGGAAUUACUGGGCGUAAAGGGCGCGUAGGCGGCCUUCUAAGUCGGACGUGAAAUCCCUCGGCUUAACCGAGGAACUGCGUCCGAGACUGAAAGGCUUGAAUCCGGGAGAGGGAUGUGGAAUUCCAGGUGUAGCGGUGAAAUGCGUAGAUAUCUGGAGGAACACCGGUGGCGAAGGCGGCAUCCUGGACCGGCAUUGACGCUGAGGAGCGAAAGCCAGGGGAGCAAACGGG